GCACCCGUAGCUCAGCUGGAUAGAGCGCUGCCCUCCGAAGGCAGAGGUCAGAGGUUCGAAUCCUCUCGGGUGCGCCA
This 77-nucleotide transfer RNA is filed under the name Ancylobacter novellus. Its description in RNAcentral is "Starkeya novella tRNA-Arg". It matches the Rfam family "tRNA". From Rfam's summary of the family: Transfer RNA (tRNA) molecules are approximately 80 nucleotides in length. RNAcentral also lists the same sequence under 99 other names. Lineage: Bacteria; Pseudomonadati; Pseudomonadota; Alphaproteobacteria; Hyphomicrobiales; Xanthobacteraceae. The record is from RNAcentral.